AGAGUUUGAUCCUGGCUCAGAUUGAACGCUGGCGGCAUGCCUUACACAUGCAAGUCGAACGGCAGCGCGGGGCAACCUGGCGGCGAGUGGCGAACGGGUGAGUAAUAUAUCGGAACGUACCCUGGAGUGGGGGAUAACGUAGCGAAAGUUACGCUAAUACCGCAUACGAUCUAAGGAUGAAAGUGGGGGAUCGCAAGACCUCAUGCUCCUGGAGCGGCCGAUAUCUGAUUAGCUAGUUGGCGGGGUAAAGGCCCACCAAGGCAACGAUCAGUAGCUGGUCUGAGAGGACGACCAGCCACACUGGAACUGAGACACGGUCCAGACUCCUACGGGAGGCAGCAGUGGGGAAUUUUGGACAAUGGGCGCAAGCCUGAUCCAGCAAUGCCGCGUGAGUGAAGAAGGCCUUCGGG
RNAcentral lists this ribosomal RNA (410 nucleotides) under uncultured bacterium. RNAcentral describes it as "bacterial SSU rRNA". It matches the Rfam family "Bacterial small subunit ribosomal RNA", at positions 8 to 422 of the family's 1533-position model. The record is from RNAcentral.